GUCCUUUUUGGCAGCACACAUACUAAAACUGGAACGAUACAGAGAAUAUUAGCAU
RNAcentral lists this small RNA (55 nucleotides) under Podarcis lilfordi (Lilford's wall lizard). The record is from RNAcentral. Lineage: Eukaryota; Metazoa; Chordata; Lepidosauria; Squamata; Lacertidae.